This 301-nucleotide ribosomal RNA is filed under the name uncultured bacterium. Its description in RNAcentral is "partial 16S ribosomal RNA". It matches the Rfam family "Bacterial small subunit ribosomal RNA", at positions 509 to 807 of the family's 1533-position model. The record is from RNAcentral.
CAGUCGCCGCGGUAAUACGUAGGGUGCAAGCGUUAAUCGGAAUUACUGGGCGUAGAGCGUGCGCAGGCGGUUCGCUAAGACAGAUGUGAAAUCCCCGGGCUUAACCUGGGAACUGCAUUUGUGACUGGCGGGCUAGAGUAUGGCAGAGGGGGGUAGAAUUCCACGUGUAGCAGUGAAAUGCGUAGAUAUGUGGAGGAAUACCGAUGGCGAAGGCAGCCCCCUGGGAUAACACUGACGCUCAUGCACGAAAGCGUGGGGAGCAAACAGGAUUAGAUACCCCGGUAGUCCCUGUCUCUUAUAC